RNAcentral lists this ribosomal RNA (912 nucleotides) under uncultured archaeon. Its description in RNAcentral is "bacterial SSU rRNA". It matches the Rfam family "Archaeal small subunit ribosomal RNA", at positions 1 to 923 of the family's 1478-position model. The record is from RNAcentral.
UUCCGGUUGAUCCUGCCGGACCUGACUGCUAUCGGAUUGAUACUAAGCCAUGCGAGUCAUUGUAGCAAUACAAGGCAGACGGCUCAGUAACGCGUAGUCAACCUACCCUAUGGACGGGGAUAACCUCGGGAAACUGAGAAUAAUACCCGAUAGAACAUUAUACCUGGAAUGGUUUAUGUUUCAAAUAAUUUAUUGCCGUAGGAUGGGACUGCGGCCUAUCAGUUUGUUGGUGAGGUAAUGGCCCACCAAGACUAUUACAGGUACGGGCUCUGAGAGGAGUAGCCCGGAGAUGGGUACUGAGACACGGACCCAGGCCCUAUGGGGCGCAGCAGGCGAGAAAACUUUGCAAUGUGCGAAAGCACGACAAGGUUAAUCCGAGUGGUUUCUGCUAAAGGAACCUUUUGUUAGUCAUAGAACCACUAAUGAAUAAGGGGUGGGCAAGUUCUGGUGUCAGCCGCCGCGGUAAAACCAGCACCUCAAGUGGUCAGGAUGAUUAUUGGGCCUAAAGCAUCCGUAGCCUGCUUUGUUAGUUUUCGGUUAAAUCCAUACGCUCAACGUAUGGGCUGCCGGGAAUACUGCAAAGCUAGGGAGUGGGAGAGGUAGACGGUACUCGGUAGGAAGGGGUAAAAUCCUUUGAUCUAUUGAUGACCACCUGUGGCGAAGGCGGUCUACCAGAACACGUCCGACGGUGAGGGAUGAAAGCUGGGGGAGCAAACCGGAUUAGAUACCCGGGUAGUCCCAGCUGUAAACUAUGCAAACUCGGUGAUGCAUUGGCUUGAUGCCCAAUGCAGUGCCGCAGGAAGCCGUUAGUUUGCCGCCUGGGAAGUACGUACGCAAGUAUGAAACUUAAAGGAUUGGCGGGGGAGCACCACAAGGGUGAAGCCUGCGGUUCAAUUGGAUUCAACGCCGGAA